RNAcentral lists this ribosomal RNA (459 nucleotides) under uncultured Sphingobacteriales bacterium. Its description in RNAcentral is "bacterial SSU rRNA". It matches the Rfam family "Bacterial small subunit ribosomal RNA", at positions 920 to 1382 of the family's 1533-position model. The record is from RNAcentral. Lineage: Bacteria; Pseudomonadati; Bacteroidota; Sphingobacteriia; Sphingobacteriales.
CCCGCACAAGCGGAGGAACAUGUGGUUUAAUUCGAUGAUACGCGAGGAACCUUACCUGGGCUUAAAUGGGGAGUGACAGCUGUCGAAAGAUGGUUUUCUUCGGACACUCUUCAAGGUGCCGCAUGGUUGUCGCCAGCUCGUGCCGUGAGGUGUCGGGUUAAGUCCCAUAACGAGCGCAACCCUUACCGUAGUUACCAUCAGGUUAAGCUGGGGACUCUAGCGGGACUGCCACCGUAAGGUGAGAGGAAGGUGGGGAUGACGUCAAAUCAGCACGGCCCUUAUGUCCAGGGCUACACACGUGUUACAAUGGCCGGUACAAAGGGCAGCUACUUCGCGAGAAGAUGCUAAUCUCGAAAGCCGGUCUCAGUUCGGAUCGAAGUCUGCAACCCGACUUCGUGAAGCUGGAUUCGCUAGUAAUCGCGCAUCAGCCAUGGCGCGGUGAAUACGUUCCCGGGCCUU